GAAAGGUGUAAUGGUUAGCACUCUGGACUCUGAAUCCAGCGAUCCGAGUUCAAAUCUCGGUAGGACC
This 67-nucleotide transfer RNA is filed under the name Danionella cerebrum. RNAcentral describes it as "tRNA-Gln". The stretch from base 3 to 61 matches the Rfam family "tRNA", at positions 7 to 64 of the family's 71-position model. Rfam says of the family: Transfer RNA (tRNA) molecules are approximately 80 nucleotides in length. Their secondary structure includes four short double-helical elements and three loops (D, anti-codon, and T loops). Lineage: Eukaryota; Metazoa; Chordata; Actinopteri; Cypriniformes; Danionidae. The record is from RNAcentral.